CGAAUGAGGAGAUUCAUCGUCAGCUUAUUCAGUAUUAAUGCAGGCUAUGAUGUGAUAAUAGAACCCUUGUGGUCACUAGAUUAUACUUGCUUGUAUUAUUUUUGCUGGGUAUGUCGGCGUGCACUUCUCCUCUAGUAGAACGUCGCAACCCGUUGGAUGUUUAUCUAUGGCUUGAAUGGUAGCCUUUGAUAUUUUUUAUAUUGAAGACCUUCGAUGUCCUGAUAAACUGUUUGACGGUAUACAUAUGGUAUUGAGCCGCAAUUAUUUGCGUUAGACUUGCCGCAAGUAUGACUUUAUUCUAGUAGUGCGGAUCUAAUGCCGUCGCUGGACAAAGUCUGCUGUUAGCUGUGU
This 351-nucleotide ribosomal RNA is filed under the name Ichneumonidae sp. HD-195. Its description in RNAcentral is "partial 28S ribosomal RNA". Lineage: Eukaryota; Metazoa; Arthropoda; Insecta; Hymenoptera; Ichneumonidae. The record is from RNAcentral.